GCCUAACCGUAAACUUUAACUUACACCCAAAUCGCCAGGGAAUUACGAGCAACGCUUAAAACCCAAAGGACUUGACGGUGCCCCAAUCCACCUAGAGGAGCCUGUCCUAUAAUCGAUAACCCCCGUUUAACCUCACCACUCCUAGACCCUCAGUCUGUAUAUCGCCGUCGUCAGUUUACCACGUGAGUGAUCCCCGUAAGCAAGAGGACCAAUCGCCAAAACGUCAGGUCAAGGUGCAGCAUAUGAAGUGGGAAGAGAUGGGCUACACUCUCUAAUUUAGAAAAUACGAAAGACUUGAUGAAAUCUCAGUCUAGAAGGCGGAUUUAGUAGUAAAAUGAAUCUAGAGUACUCAUUUUAACACGGCCCUGGGGCGUGUACACACCGCCCGUCACCCUCUUCGAAACUAAACUUAAAGUACAUAACACUUCACCUAUCUUAAAGAGGAGGCAAGUCGUAACAUGGUAAGCUUACCGGAAGGUGUGCUUGGAAAC
RNAcentral lists this ribosomal RNA (491 nucleotides) under Scinax fuscovarius (snouted treefrog). RNAcentral describes it as "partial small subunit ribosomal RNA". It matches the Rfam family "Bacterial small subunit ribosomal RNA", at positions 794 to 1522 of the family's 1533-position model. The record is from RNAcentral. Lineage: Eukaryota; Metazoa; Chordata; Amphibia; Anura; Hylidae.